Molecule: unclassified non-coding RNA, 345 nt
Filed under: soil metagenome
Description: partial contains 5.8S ribosomal RNA, internal transcribed spacer 2, and large subunit ribosomal RNA
Rfam family: 5.8S ribosomal RNA (bases 1-120)
Source: RNAcentral
GAUGAAGAACGCAGCGAAAUGCGAUACGUAAUGUGAAUUGCAGAAUUCAGUGAAUCAUCGAGUCUUUGAACGCACAUUGCGCCCCCUGGUAUUCCGGGGGGCAUGCCUGUCCGAGCGUCAUUGCUGCCCUCAAGCACGGCUGGUGUGUUGGGCCUCCGUCCUCCUCCCGGGGGACGGGCCCGAAAGGCAGCGGCGGCACCGCGUCCGGUCCUCGAGCGUAUGGGGCUUCGUCACCCGCUCUUGUAGGCCCGGCCGGCGCUUGCCGACACAUCAAUCUUUUUUCCAGGUUGACCUCGGAUCAGGUAGGGAUACCCGCUGAACUUAAGCAUAUCAAUAAGCGGAGGA